Olea europaea var. sylvestris is the source of this 444-nucleotide long non-coding RNA. RefSeq lists it as uncharacterized. The transcript is spliced from 2 exons. Lineage: Eukaryota; Viridiplantae; Streptophyta; Magnoliopsida; Lamiales; Oleaceae. The record is from RefSeq and is a predicted model, not a curated record.
UUUCUUAAUCCUUAAGGAAGAGUCACGUCUCCAGCAUCUUGAAGACUUUAUAUACACCUCCUAACAACAUGUUUAGUCUUACAAAUUAUCCCCAAUUGACCACCGAUUGAAAGAGAAAGCAAAAAGGGAAAGAGAGAAGCAGAAACAAGGAGCUGAAAUUGAAUUUCUGGAUAGGUGAGCAUGGAACUAUACAGAGGGCACGGCUAGCUGUAGAGCUCUUACGGGACUCCAAAGAUCAAUGUACAUGGAUGAUGACCUGUAGGGUUAUUUUGUGGGCUAUUGUUUUGAGCUUACACUCUAUUGUGUCAUAUUUGGGGGGUCCUGUCUUGUAUAACUUUUGAAAUGGCCUAUAGAUGUGUUUAUAACCUUAGAACAUACGUGUUGGAUUAUGGUUAUAUGAUCGUUGAUUUUGAUAUAAUAUAUGAUCAUCACAGUUGAUUUGAA